RNAcentral lists this ribosomal RNA (427 nucleotides) under uncultured bacterium. RNAcentral describes it as "partial 16S ribosomal RNA". It matches the Rfam family "Bacterial small subunit ribosomal RNA", at positions 355 to 774 of the family's 1533-position model. The record is from RNAcentral.
UGGGGAAUAUUGGACAAUGGGCGAAAGCCUGAUCCAGCCAUGCCGCGUGUGUGAAGAAGGUCUUCGGAUUGUAAAGCACUUUAAGUUGGGAGGAAGGGCAUUAACCUAAUACGUUAGUGUUUUGACGUUACCGACAGAAUAAGCACCGGCUAACUCUGUGCCAGCAGCCGCGGUAAUACAGAGGGUGCAAGCGUUAAUCGGAAUUACUGGGCGUAAAGCGCGCGUAUGUGGUUUGUUAAGUUGGAUUUGAAAUCCCCGGGCUCAACCUGGGAACUGCAUUCAAAACUGACUGACUAGAGUAUGGUAGAGGGUGGUGGAAUUUCCUGUGUAGCGGUGAAAUGCGUAGAUAUAGGAAGGAACACCAGUGGCGAAGGCGACCACCUGGACUAAUACUGACACUGAGGUGCGAAAGCGUGGGGAGCAAACA